AUCCCAUUUCUACUCCAAUUAAUUACUAUUUCAAUCCUCUUUUUAUCCCAUUUUUAUCCCAAUUCAACCCCAUUUUUAUCUCAUCUUUAUUUCAACUCAAUCCCAUUUCCAUCCCAAUUCAAUCCCGUUUCUAUCCCAUCUUUAUCUCAAUUCAAUCUCAAUUCAAUCCCAUUUUUCUCCCAUUUCCAUCCCAAUUCUAUUCCAGCUCAGUUCCAUUGAAAUCCCAUUUUUACCCCAUUUUUAUCCCAAUUCACUCCCAUUUUUAUUCCUUUUCCAUCCCAACUCAAUCCCAUUUCCAUCCCAAUUCAAUCCUGGUUUUAUUCCAUUUCAUUCCCAAUUUUAUCCAAAUUAAAUCCUGGUUUUAUCCCAAUUCAAUCCCAUUUGCAUCCCAUUUCUAUUCCAGUUCAAUCCCAUUUUUAUCCCCUUUAAAUCCCAAUUCAAUCCCAUCUUUAUCCCAUUUCAAUCCCAUUUUUAUUCCCAUUUCCAGCCCAAUUCCAUCCCCUUUUUACCCCAAUUCAAUCCCACUUAAAUCCCAAUUAAUUACCAUUUUUAUCCCAAUUCAAUCUUUUUUAUCCCACCUAAAUCCCACUGCCAUCCCACAAUUAUCCUAUUUCUAUCCCAUUGAAAUCCCAAUCAAAUUCCAUUUUUAUCUCAUCCUCAUCCCAAUUAAAUCCUCGUUUUUUCCCAUUUUUAACCAAUUUUUCUCCCAAUCAAAUCUCAUUUUUACCCCAUUCUUUUCCCCUUUUCUCCCAUUUUUAACCCAUUUUUCUUCCAUUUUUCUCCCAUUUUUUACCCAUUUUUAACCCAUUUUUCUUCCAUUUUUACCCUGUUUUUCUCCAGUUUUUCUCCCAUUUUUCCCCAUUUUUCCCCAAUUAAAUCCCCUUUUUUCCCCCUUUUUCACCCCAUUUUUCUCCCAAUUAAAUCCCAUUUUUUCUCCCAUUUUUUCCCCAUUUUUCCACCCAUUUUUCCCCAUUUUCCCCAUCCCCACCUGUCUCUCAUGCUCCUGCUGCAGCAUCUUCUCCUGCGCCGCCUUCUUGUCGGCCUUGACUGGGGAGGGAGCAGAAA
RNAcentral lists this long non-coding RNA (1065 nucleotides) under Junco hyemalis (dark-eyed junco). Its description in RNAcentral is "lncRNA (ENSJHYG00000010786.1)". Lineage: Eukaryota; Metazoa; Chordata; Aves; Passeriformes; Passerellidae. The record is from RNAcentral.